Molecule: ribosomal RNA, 459 nt
Filed under: uncultured bacterium
Lineage: Bacteria
Description: partial 16S ribosomal RNA
Rfam family: Bacterial small subunit ribosomal RNA
Source: RNAcentral
CCUACGGGAGGCAGCAGUGAGGAAUAUUGGUCAAUGGCCGGAAGGCUGAACCAGCCAAGCCGCGUGAGGGAGGAAGGCGCAGAGCGUCGCAGACCUCUUUUGCCGGGGGACAAAAGGCCGGACUCGUCCGGUCCUGAGGGUACCCGGAGAAAAAGCAUCGGCUAACUCCGUGCCAGCAGCCGCGGUAAUACGGAGGAUGCGAGCGUUAUCCGGAUUCAUUGGGUUUAAAGGGUGCGCAGGCGGGCCUUUAAGCCGGCGGUGAAAUCGCGGGGCUCAACCCCGGCGAGCCGUUGAAACUGGCUGUCUUGAGAUGUCGAGAGGUAUGCGGAAUGCGCAGUGUAGCGGUGAAAUGCUUAGAUAUUGCGCAGAACUCCGAUUGCGAAGGCAGCAUACCGGCGGCGAUCUGACGCUGAGGCACGAAAGCGUGGGUAUCGAACAGGAUUAGAUACCCCGGUAGUC